UUAUAAUUUACAUCCUAUUGCUACGUGUUAGAAAAUUGUUCGUUGGGUUAGAGAGACACCCACAACUCCUAACACGAGACACAAGAGAGAGAGUAAAAAAAUCCUACAGAAUCUUAAUCUUCUU
Melitaea cinxia (Glanville fritillary) is the source of this 124-nucleotide long non-coding RNA. RefSeq lists it as uncharacterized. The transcript is spliced from 3 exons. The record is from RefSeq and is a predicted model, not a curated record. NCBI's taxonomy places the organism in Eukaryota, Metazoa, Arthropoda, Insecta, Lepidoptera, Nymphalidae.